AAACCAACAGGGAUUGCCUUAGUAGCGGCGAGUGAAGCGGCAAUAGCUCAAAUUUGAAAUCUGGCGCCUUCGGUGUCCGAGUUGUAAUUUGAAGAAGGUAUCUUUGGUUUUGGCUCUUGUCUAUGUUUCUUGGAACAGGACGUCAUAGAGGGUGAGAAUCCCGUCUGAUGAGAUGCCCAAUUCCAUGUAAAGUUCCUUCGACGAGUCGAGUUGUUUGGGAAUGCAGCUCUAAGUGGGUGGUAAAUUCCAUCUAAAGCUAAAUAUUGGCGAGAGACCGAUAGCGAACAAGUACUGUGAAGGAAAGAUGAAAAGAACUUUGAAAAGAGAGUGAAAAAGUACGUGAAAUUGUUGAAAGGGAAGGGUUUAAGGUCAGACUUGGUUUACCAGGCCAGCAUCGGUUUAGAUGGCAGGAUAAUGGCGUAGGAAUGUGGCUUUGCUUCGGUAAAGUGUUAUAGCCUGCGUUGAUACUGCCUAUUUAGACCGAGGACUGCGUCUUUGACAAGGAUGCUGGCAUAAUGGCCUUAAGCCAC
Molecule: ribosomal RNA, 530 nt
Filed under: Yamadazyma atlantica
Lineage: Eukaryota; Fungi; Ascomycota; Pichiomycetes; Serinales; Debaryomycetaceae
Description: eukaryotic LSU rRNA
Rfam family: Eukaryotic large subunit ribosomal RNA
Source: RNAcentral